AAAGUAUAGUUGAUUCACAUGCUGUGCCAGUUUCUGCUGUAACUUCAGGUUUUUUAAAUUAAAAUAUAAAUAUUUAAAUAUAUAAAAAUUUGUAUACACACACACACAAGUGAAAAUGUUUUCCCAGGGUUGUACAAUAGCAAGAACGACAGCCCAUAACACUCCUUUAUAGAUGCCACUCAGAUUCAAGGGUCAUUUCCCGAUUUCCUAUUAUGUGAUUGUAUUUAACCUUCCUAAUAACGCAGAAAUCCAAUUUGCAGAUGAGGAACUAUGUAUGUUCUAAGAGGUUGUGUGCCUUCCUAAAAUAGCCCAGUAUGGGGGAGAAUUUGGAACAGAAUAUAAUUCUUUUGGCUCCAUUUAGAAUCCCACCUGUACACGCAGCUGCUGUUCAGUUUCAGGUGCUAAUCAUCUUACGGGAUCUUCUAUCCCGAGGAAGGAACUCAGUUUUGAUAAAUGGCGAACUUAAUGUCCCAUCAACUGAAAAUUUCAGUGCUACAAAUAUUACUUUGCCUCUCUCUGUUUGUUUGUUUGUUUUGGUUUUGGUUGUUCCCACAGCAUGUGGAAGUUCCUGGGCCAGGGUUCGAACCUGAGCUGCUACAGUGACAAUGCCAGAUCCUUAACCUGCGGCUCCACAAGGAAACAAUACCCCUCUCUUUUUCUAAGAUCUGCUCUUGCACAAACUCGAGAGAUUCAUGCUGGAGGGCCCACAAUCGGCACAGUAAAAUCAGUGUCUUUGUCAUUUCACUAACUACACAUCCAGGUUUAUAAAGGUCACAUUAUUACAGAGGAAAAAAAAAAUGCAGCUGCUGACAGGAUCGCUAAGAGCAACAAAUACCAGGAAAGUCUCAAAACUCUGACCACUUUUUUCUCAACUGGAGUUUUGCCAAUGAUUUCUCCACCGCUUUGGAAACUUGUUCUUGCCUCUCCCCUUUUCCAAAAGAUCAUCCUCACCCCAGGGGGAAAAAAAAAAUGAAGACCUCAAAACCCAGGACAAAUUGCUCAUUUAAAGAACUGGAGUUAAGGAUGCAGGGGCUCUUCUUCCUUAAAAGCUCAUCACUCUGCAGAAAGAAUCCGAACCCAGUCCUGAUUUUUCCUGAGCAAUGGAGCAGUUUUUGGUUUGGGGUUAAUUUUAAUUUAAAAAAAAAAAAAAAAAAGGCACCAUUCUUGAGAAGCUGUUGCUAUGAGACUUCCCGGGCCUCAACAGAUGGCCCCAGAGCAGCUCUCAGCCCCAGCUUGGGCUCUGAAGCCCUCCACUCACGCAUGCCAUUAACAUUCCUGAAAUACUUCUGGAGGCAAAUGCGGGCUGGCCGCCUUCAGACUAGCUCACCCGCAGCUCCGGGCUGGCCUCCUGGUAAGGGGCUUGGGUUGAAAUUUGUUAUAAAUGAAUGAUCAGGCCUCUCUAGGAAAAGGCCACAGCCCAGACGUUGCCAUCUUUCUCAGUUUAAGCCUUUACCCUGGGGUUUGGAGUCCUUUAGUGGAGCAGGUGGGCACAUGUGCACACACGCACACACUCAGGCACACACACUGCACUCCACAGCCGAUUCAUUUCAUCAUUUGUAAGCUUCUGACCCCUUCCCAGGCACAGGGUGAUGAAGUUAAGAGAGCAAUGCAUUUAUGGACGGAGGCCUCCUUUGGUGCCCAGAGUUGCUGGGGGAGCGGUUUAAGAAUUGCUGGUUUCUCUUUUGCCAGAAAGACAGAAAGGAAAGGAAAUAAGCAGGGCAUUGGUCAGGUUCCACUUUCCCACUAACUUUCCGGCCGAAUCACUCCAUGUCCCCACCUUUCUUGCUCCUCCGAACCGGGAUAAUGACACUGACCUACAUGCAUCAGAUAGAGGAACUGAUGAACCAUGACUGAUACACGACUGUGAACUCGCUGCCUAAAUAUCAGGUCCUGGGGACCAGCCUCCACUGCUGCCGGGAGGAGCUUGGAGACAGACCCCUGAGGGUCUCAUGAUGGGGACCACCGCCUCUGGAGGGCAGGUCUGGAAGGCUGACCACAGGUUUUGGUGGGCAAGGUCUACCGGUAGCUUUAUUGGUCACUAAGGAGCUUUGGGACUUGGAAAAAAACAAGUGGCUCUACACUGGAGCUUUUCAGGGUGGGGCUCAUUUAAAUUCCAUCCCCUGAGCUUUGGCUACAAAACCAGGCCUGGAGUAUACCAGCAAAGUCCUACUGAAGUGUCUGACGCCUGGCGCUCACUCGCUCGAUCACCUGAUAGGACUGUCCGAGCAAACCUACCAGUUUCAGGUCACGGACUUCCUUAAAAGCUUUUCUCCCAAGGAUAUCCGAUGAUAUCAGAUGAUGUUGCACAAAUAUUGCACGGCCACCAUCAUGUGACGCUCGUGGUUUUGACUCUAGUCUGUCCAAUGACGGGCACAAUAACCUGAGACGGCUUAGGAUCCCGCCUUCCAAAAGCACCCAUUUGUUCUGACGUAAAUCUUCUCUCUAGUCUCCGAAAUGUGAGCAUUAGGAUUGCUGGAAGGUUUUUUUGUUUUGUUUUUGUUUUUAAAUGCCUUUUAGAAGUUUGGCCUAACAAGGAGUACCAGCCUUUUCCUACUAAGCAGGGCCAUUUUUUGUUUGUUUGUUUGUUUUGUUUUUGUUUUUUUGUUUUUUCUAGGGCCACACCUGCGGCAUAUGGAGGUUCCCAGGCUAGGGGCCGAUCGGAGCUGCAGAGCGGCCCCAGAAAAGGCAAAAAGACCAAAAAAAUAAAAAUAAAAAAUAAAAAUAAAAUAAAUUCACUUAGUAUCUACCUACCAAGAGAUCUAAUUUUUCAAUGAUCACCAUCAUCUGUACUAUUUGCACCCACGUUGUAUUUUAAAGGAUUUCUGUCGAUGUGUGUAAUGACCACAUUUCUUCUCAUGGGCAAUGUCAUUUCUGACACUUUCAUUCAUCAAAACAGUCAUUUAAAUAUUUAUAGUUAGGAUUACCAAUACAUUGCUCCUAUUACAGGAAAAUGUCUUUAUCAAGAAGAGUUAGCUAACGGCUGAGAAAGAUGGAGAUUUCCAACUGGCUAUAAAUAUUGGAAGACAAACACACAUUUCAGGAUUAACAGAUUGCAAGCAUAUGGCUUCUGAAGGCUUAUUGCCUGGUUUUCACCACUGCUGUCUGUCCUUACUGUUUAUUACUUGAAUUGAAUCAUUUAGAAUUGAGGAACAUCUCUGUAUUACCUUUGCAAUUAACGUGGUGGGUAAAGUCUCAGAACCUCUUUGGAUUUAUAAAUGGAUCUUUACCCAUUUACAGACAAUUUUCAUUAAAAAAACCACACACACACAAUUGUCUCCUCCCUGUCAGUACAAACAAGCAAAGCUGUAAGUCCAAACCACGAGUCCUCUCACCACCCCUGGGUGCCUCAACCCUGGAAUGAAAGCAUGCUGACAGCAGGUCCAAGGAGAGGUCCCCACGGGAAGUCAGGAUGGUCCCCAAAGUUACUUCUCAAUCAACUUAAAAGUACAUAAAAUGAAAUCAGAGCAGAGCUGAAGCUUAAUCAGGAUCGUGGCCCCAUAUUCCUAAGCAUCUCACUGCUGCUCAAAUCUGGAUGACCACAAGGGUGGAGGGAAGUGAGCCAAGCAGGGCCAUCAAAGCCUGUGCACCACUGACUCCCCUAAUCUGGGCAGACCCUCAAAGGAAAAACUGCUUUCAUAUCACAAGAUAAAAAAUUAAAGGGAGCUUUAAAAAGAAGUGGUAAUUAGAAUCAGAUGGUAAAUCCUGGGGUUGCAUGGCUGGAAGAAACCUUCUGCACAAGCACAUAUAUAUUUGCUGGUCCUAGUGAAGGGUCACUUGGCAUCACUUCAGCUUCUCUCACACAGGAAGGAGCGCGCAGAGAAGUGCCGACUGCCCGCAAGGACCACAGGCCUUUGUCCACCCUUCCCGUUGUACAUCUUUAUUUAUGCCUUGGAAUCAUUCUGCCAGCACAUCUGACAGCCAAAUCACGUAGGAAUUCAUCAUGAAGGCCUAACUAAACAACUUCCCUGC
This 3969-nucleotide long non-coding RNA is filed under the name Sus scrofa (pig). Its description in RNAcentral is "lncRNA (ENSSSCG00000054883.1)". The record is from RNAcentral. Lineage: Eukaryota; Metazoa; Chordata; Mammalia; Artiodactyla; Suidae.